Solanum stenotomum is the source of this 459-nucleotide long non-coding RNA. RefSeq lists it as uncharacterized. NCBI's taxonomy places the organism in Eukaryota, Viridiplantae, Streptophyta, Magnoliopsida, Solanales, Solanaceae. The record is from RefSeq and is a predicted model, not a curated record. The transcript is spliced from 2 exons.
UGGUAAAUUAAUCAUUAAUUUUUGUCACUUAUCAAAAUCAAGUACUUUUAAAAGUCUAUAUAUUUGAGACAAUUCUUAAGCAUUUUUCAUUAUCUUUUGAUUUUUGAGCACUAAAUCACAUAUUUUCAAUGGCCUCUACAAAAUUCUCCCUUCAGUCAAUUUUGCUGCUUUGUGUGGUUUUGUAUUCUCUUGUGAAUCUCCAUCAAUGUGAUGAAAGCACGAAACUUAAUGCAAACGAUGUAUGCGACCAACUUGUGGUUCCUGGUGAACCACCUCAUUGGUGUUGCACGUUGGACAAACCACUCAAUUGUGACUAUCUUUCUCUACAAAAUUGUCAAAAUAAUUGUCAUUAAUGAUAAAUUAUGUGACUUGUAUUAGUGAUUCUUCAUCAUUUCCAAGAGUUUAAUAAAAUGAUUUUGAAGUUUCAAUUUGAUUAAAAUGACUUAUAAUCUUUUGUGA